This 372-nucleotide ribosomal RNA is filed under the name uncultured organism. Its description in RNAcentral is "bacterial SSU rRNA". It matches the Rfam family "Bacterial small subunit ribosomal RNA", at positions 526 to 896 of the family's 1533-position model. The record is from RNAcentral.
CGGGGGGGGCAAGCGUUGUUCGGAACUACUGGGCGUAAAGGGCUCGUAGGCGGCCAACUAAGUCAGACGUGAAAUCCCCAGGCUCAACCUGGGAACUGCGUCUGAUACUGGUUGGCUUGAAUUCGGGAGAGGGAUGCAGAAUUCCAGGUGUAGCGGUGAAAUGCGUAGAUAUCUGGAGGAAUACCGGUGGCGAAGGCGGCAUCCUGGACCGACAUUGACGCUGAGGAGCGAAAGCUAGGGGAGCAAACGGGAUCAGAUACCCCGGUAGUCCUAGCCCUAAACGAUGAAUGCUUGGUGUGACGGGUAUCGAUCCCUGUCGUGCCGAAGCUAACGCAUUAAGCAUUCCGCCUGGGGAGUACGGUCGCAAGGCUG